GGAAUAUUGGUCAAUGGCCUAACGGCUGAACCAGCAACUUGCAGGAAUGAGAGUUAAUAUAAUAAGUUUAUUAACUUGCUUGACUAGGUCUUAUAAAGUUCUGGAUAAAGCUUAUUAUGAAAACUUUAUAUCCAUAGGUCUCGACCAAAUCUUGUGCCAGCAGUCGCGGUAAGACAAGGGAGACAAGUGUUAUUCAUCUUUAACAGGUAUAUAGGGUACCUAGACGGUGUAAAAUGGCUUGAAUAAGUACCUAUUACACUUGAGUUUGAUAUGGGAGAGGAAUAUGUCGGAAUUGUUGGUGUAAAGAUGAAAUUUGCUAAUACCAAUAGGACCGGUAACGGCGAAGGCAAACCUCUAUGUACAUAUACUUGCUUAUUCUAUAGAAGAAUUGAUUUGAAAUUAUAAUUGGAUUCUAAAGGAGAAUUACUCUUUCUUACUAGAUUGAAAAUGAAAGUGAAGAAAACGCUUAAAUGCAUAAAGAGGAAAGGCAAGCUAUUAUAACUGACGUUGAGGGACGAAGGCUCAGAGAGUGAAGAGGAUUAGAUACCCCCGUAGCCUGGGCAGACAAUGAUGAGUGCCAUAGGUUGGCUUUACGCGGAACUAUAAAUGAAAGUGCAAGCACUCCACCUCAAGAGUAAUGUGGCAACGCAGGAACUGAAAUCAUUAGACCGUUUCUGAAACCAGUAGUGAAGUAUGUUAUUUAAUUCGAUGAUCCUCGAAUAACCUUACCACAAUUUGAAUGACCUAAAAUAUUUUUUUAGACCACAUGCGUUGCAUGGCUGUCUUCAGUUAAUGUCGUGAGAUUUGGUUAGGUCCAUUAAAUUAACGUAAACCCUUGUUUUAUUUAUUACUAUAAAGCAGCUCUCCGCUUACAAUUGGAUGUGAUAAUAGGGACUAAGACAAGUCAUCAUGGCCUUAAUAUUGUGGGCUAUAAGGACUAAGACAAGUCAUC
Molecule: ribosomal RNA, 952 nt
Filed under: Didymocyrtis foliaceiphila
Lineage: Eukaryota; Fungi; Ascomycota; Dothideomycetes; Pleosporales; Phaeosphaeriaceae
Description: mitochondrial SSU rRNA
Rfam family: Bacterial small subunit ribosomal RNA
Source: RNAcentral